GGGGUCUCUUGUGAAUCCCACAUACUAAAAAAGAUUGAAAAGUUAAAGAUCAAACUAACUCAACCAUUGGUGUAGGCGAUGGAUAAUGUGCCAGCCCUUUAUUGACAUUUGACAACAUAUAAGGUUGCAAACAAGUACAAAGCCGUCUUUGAUGAAAUAUUCAUAUUGUUGUCUCAUUGAAACAAUCUAGUUUAAGUAUGCCAAAACUGCACUGGCCUUUCUGCACUUGCAUACUGCAUAAUUAUUGACUUUAUUGUCAAAGGACAAACUGGUAUGAAGCGCUUCGGAGAAGAUAGUAGGUGUAUUUCUAUGCAAAUCGAUGUCUUCAAUAGUUGGCUGUUGCGCAGUGACUAUUAAGAGGCAAAAAUAAAGAUAAAAAGGGCGGUGAUGUCAACGUGGUAGAGAGAUGUUAUAUAACUCAAAAUUGAAUAAGGUGAAGCACCAUACACCUUAAACUUAGCUCAAAGAAAGUAUGUGUUUUCAGGUGGAGUGCAAGCAGUGUGGGAAAACCUCCUGGGGAGGUUGUGGGAAGCACCUGAAAACCCUGUAUGCCAGCAUUGAUGAGGGAAAGCACUGCAUGUGCCGCUCCUGGCCUGGAGUUACCAUGCCCUCCAAGGAGACAACUAGCCAGCAACCAUCGCAAGUUUCUGGUUCAACUUCAACUACCAAGGAAAAAUAAAAUAUUGAAGAUGCCUUGGAUUCUGGGGGCAGUUGCUAUUAGUUAAGUUAAGAGUCAUGGUAGGCCUAUGAAUAAAUAAUGGAAAGUGAGUCUUAGUUGGAUAUGAUCAUGUCCUAGUAUACUCUUUUUUCCUAGUUUAGCUAAGAAGAAUCAUAUUAAUAAUGUAAUGUGGGUAUAGUCAAGAUAUGUUGACUAAUGCUAAAACUGCAUUUCGAAAAAAUGUAUGGAUUAAUUAAAUUAAUAAAAGAAUCAAGUACUUCCCCCAAA
This is a long non-coding RNA of Quercus robur (English oak), 946 nucleotides long. RefSeq lists it as uncharacterized. Lineage: Eukaryota; Viridiplantae; Streptophyta; Magnoliopsida; Fagales; Fagaceae. The transcript has 2 exons. The record is from RefSeq and is a predicted model, not a curated record.